AGCAGCCGCGGUAAUUCCAGCUCCAAUAGCGUAUAUUAAAGUUGUUGCAGUUAAAAAGCUCGUAGUUGAAUUUCGGGGUCAGUAAGUUGGUCGUGCCACUGGUAUGUACUGGCUUUACUGAUUCCUCCUUCUUGUAGAACCGUAAUGCCAUUAAGUUGGUGUUGCGGGAAAACAGGACUGUUACUUUGAAAAAAUUAGAGUGUUUAAAGCAAGCUAACGCUUGAAUACAUUAGCAUGGAAUAAUGAAAUAGGACGUUCGAUCCUAUUUUGUUGGUUUCUAGGAUUGACGUAAUGAUUAAUAGGGAUAGUUGGGGGCAUUAGUAUUCAAUUGUCAGAGGUGAAAUUCUUGGAUUAUUGGAAGACUAACUACUGCGAAAGCAUUUGCCAAGGAUGUUUUCAUUAAUCAAGAACGAAAGUUAGGGGAUCGAAGACGAUCAGAUACCGUCGUAGUCUUAACCAUAAACUAUGCCGACUAGGGAUCGGAUGAUGUUAAUUUUUUAAUGACUCGUUUGGCACCUUA
Molecule: ribosomal RNA, 520 nt
Filed under: uncultured Glomus
Lineage: Eukaryota; Fungi; Glomeromycota; Glomeromycetes; Glomerales; Glomeraceae
Description: SSU rRNA
Rfam family: Eukaryotic small subunit ribosomal RNA
Source: RNAcentral